UGGAGGGCAAGUCUGGUGCCAGCAGCCGCGGUAAUUCCAGCUCCAAUAGCGUAUAUUAAAGUUGUUGCAGUUAAAAAGCUCGUAGUUGAACCUUGGGCCUGGCUGGCCGGUCCGCCUCACCGCGUGCACUGGUUCGGCCGGGCCUUUCCCUCUGGGGAACCCUAUGGUCUUCACUGAUCGUAGCGGGGAACCAGGACUUUUACUGUGAAAAAAUUAGAGUGUUCAAAGCAGGCCUAUGCUCGAAUACAUUAGCAUGGAAUAAUAAAAUAGGACGUGUGGUUCUAUUUUGUUGGUUUCUAGGACCGCCGUAAUGAUUAAUAGGGACAGUCGGGGGCAUCAGUAUUCAAUUGUCAGAGGUGAAAUUCUUGGAUUUAUUGAAGACUAACUACUGCGAAAGCAUUUGCCAAGGAUGUUUUCAUUAAUCAGGAACGAAAGUUAGGGGAUCGAAGACGAUCAGAUACCGUCGUAGUCUUAACCAUAAACUAUGCCGACUAGGGAUCGGACGGUGUUAUUUUUUGACCCGUUUGGCACCUUACGGGAAAC
RNAcentral lists this ribosomal RNA (543 nucleotides) under uncultured Seiridium. Its description in RNAcentral is "SSU rRNA". It matches the Rfam family "Eukaryotic small subunit ribosomal RNA", at positions 549 to 1098 of the family's 1831-position model. The record is from RNAcentral. Lineage: Eukaryota; Fungi; Ascomycota; Sordariomycetes; Amphisphaeriales; Amphisphaeriaceae.